RNAcentral lists this ribosomal RNA (449 nucleotides) under uncultured bacterium. RNAcentral describes it as "partial 16S ribosomal RNA". It matches the Rfam family "Bacterial small subunit ribosomal RNA", at positions 29 to 523 of the family's 1533-position model. The record is from RNAcentral.
AACGAACGCUGGCGGCGUGCCUAACACAUGCAAGUCGAACGAAGGCUUCGGCCUUAGUGGCGCACGGGUGCGUAACGCGUGGGAAUCUGCCCCUCGGUUCGGAAUAACAGUUAGAAAUGACUGCUAAUACCGGAUGAUGACUUCGGUCCAAAGAUUUAUCGCCGGGGGAUGAGCCCGCGUAAGAUUAGGAAGUUGGUGGGGUAAAGGCCUACCAAGCCGACGAUCUUUAGCUGGUCUGAGAGGAUGAUCAGCCACACUGGGACUGAGACACGGCCCAGACUCCUACGGGAGGCAGCAGUGGGGAAUAUUGGACAAUGGGCGAAAGCCUGAUCCAGCAAUGCCGCGUGAGUGAUGAAGGCCUUAGGGUUGUAAAGCUCUUUUACCAGGGAUGAUAAUGACAGUACCUGGAGAAUAAGCUCCGGCUAACUCCGUGCCAGCAGCCGCCGUAA